AGAGUUUGAUCCUGGCUCAGAUUGAACGCUGGCGGCGUGCCUAACACAUGCAAGUCGAGCGGCAGCGCGGGGGCAACCCUGGCGGCGAGCGGCGGACGGGUGAGCAAUAUUUGGGAAUCUGCCUAUUAGUGGGGGACAACCCGGGGAAACUCGGGCUAAUACCGCAUACGCACUACGGUGGAAAGCCGGGGACCGCAAGGCCUGGCGCUAAUAGAUGAGCCCAAAUCGGAUUAGCUAGUUGGUGAGGUAAUGGCUCACCAAGGCUACGAUCCGUAGCUGGUCUGAGAGGACGACCAGCCACACCGGAACUGAGACACGGUCCGGACUCCUACGGGAGGCAGCAGUGGGGAAUAUUGGACAAUGGGCGAAAGCCUGAUCCAGCGACGCCGCGUGGGUGAAGAAGGCCUGCGGGUUGUAAAGCCCUUUCGGUGGGGAAGAAAAGCCUCGACCUAACACGUCGGGGUCUUGACGUAACCCAUAGAAGAAGCACCGGCUAACUCUGUGCCAGCAGCCGCGGUAAUACAGAGGGUGCGAGCGUUAAUCGGAAUUACUGGGCGUAAAGCGCGCGUAGGCGGCUUUGCAAGUCGGGUGUGAAAUCCCCAGGCUUAACCUGGGAACUGCAUUCGAGACUGCAUUGCUAGAGUAUGGGAGAGGGAAGUGGAAUUUCAGGUAGCGGUGAAAUGCGUAGAUAUCUGAAGGAACAUCAGUGGCGAAAGCGACUUCCUGGACCAAUACUGACGCUCAUGUGCGAAAGCGUGGGGAGCAAACAGGAUUAGAUACCCNNGUAGUCC
RNAcentral lists this ribosomal RNA (791 nucleotides) under uncultured bacterium. Its description in RNAcentral is "bacterial SSU rRNA". It matches the Rfam family "Bacterial small subunit ribosomal RNA", at positions 8 to 796 of the family's 1533-position model. The record is from RNAcentral.